This is a long non-coding RNA of Ochotona princeps (American pika), 894 nucleotides long. RefSeq lists it as uncharacterized. Lineage: Eukaryota; Metazoa; Chordata; Mammalia; Lagomorpha; Ochotonidae. The record is from RefSeq and is a predicted model, not a curated record. The transcript is spliced from 3 exons.
AAAAGUCUUAAGUAGUUUCUCAGGCAAGGCAGAAUUUCUUAUAAAAUGUCCACUAAUGAUAUUUCGCAUUUACCUAGACCUUUGCAGUUUGAACAGGGGGACCUUCCUAACUAUCACAUGACCCUCAAACAUGCCAUGGACUCGAUAUGUGUGAUCUUUGUACAGCCUUGCGGGCUGUGAGAAUGGUGACAGCUGAUAAUGACUCACUAUCAGCCAGAAACCCAACAUAUCUGACCACAAUCCGAUAGUAUUAAAAAUGGUGCUUACAGAUAAUCUGCCAUGCUCGGCUCUUAAAGAAGCAGCGUGACUGCUAUGUGCAUAAUAGAGUGGAUGCCUUCAGUCCCUAAAAAGUGAAACAGAAAAACCACAAUCAAUAAAUUGGCUCUGGGACACCAACAAAUUUUGGAAAGACAUCUCUGCUCACCAGAGCUAACAGUGAUGACCAAAAUCGUCCACAAAAUUUAUUUUGUGAAGGGAAAGAAAUAAUCUUUAAAAAUGAAACAGAACAGAAGAGAAAUUGUUGGAACACAUCACAGCCAAGGAGAAAAAGGCUGAAAUUCCUGUGGUUCUCCAAAUGGCAAGGGAUAACUUCCCAGAAUCCUCCAGUAAACUGCUGCUUACAUCUUGUUGACCAGAAGUGAAUAGUUGACUCUUUCCUAAGUCCAGUACUGACAGGAAGAUGACAACCCCCUGACCAAUCAGGCUUCUCUCGGAUCUGGUACCAGCUUUUCCCGAACACAGGGCUGGAGGAGAAGAAAGCAAAAUUGAAGUUUUAGUAAGAACAGGGGAAACAUAUGUUGCUGAGUUGGCACCCAACAAAAUUCAUUUCAAAUAAGAAUUUUUCACAACUUUGAUUAGAUGUUCUAGUCUACUUGACAUUAAGUAUUUCCAUCA